RNAcentral lists this ribosomal RNA (300 nucleotides) under uncultured bacterium. Its description in RNAcentral is "bacterial SSU rRNA". The stretch from base 59 to 300 matches the Rfam family "Bacterial small subunit ribosomal RNA", at positions 555 to 795 of the family's 1533-position model. The record is from RNAcentral.
CAAGUGCGUGGGAACAGGCCGGGGGAGUGGGUAGGGGGGGAGGGUGGUCCGGUUGCAGUGUGCGGAAAGUGCGCGUAGGGGGUGUGGCAAGGCUGGUGGGAGAUCUCCGGGGUCAACUCGGAGAGGCCACUCGAUGCUGCUAUGACUAGAGUCCGGUAGGGGACUAUGGAAUUCCUGGUGUAGCGGUGAAAUGCGCAGAUAUCAGGAGGAACACCGGUGGCGAAGGCGGUAGUCUGGGCCGGUACUGACGCUGAGGAGCGAAAGCGUGGGGAGCGAACAGGAUUAGAUACCCGAGUAGUC